CAGUGUGGAGCCGCUUGGGAUUCUCUCUCUGCUCCUCUCCCAUGGACACAUUCUUCUCAAAGUAAACAGAAAAACUUAAAUAGAAAUAGGCUCCAGAGGAGUAGAAACCCCAAGCGGGGAUCCAUACUGGCACUACAGGUCACCACGUUCCUGCUGAGGAGGCCCAGACUCUCCCGGGGCUCCAGAACCAGACCAGUUUCUGCAAGAAGACAAAGGAACAAAGCAGGAAGGGAUGAUACAAGAUAGUGUCACCUGCCAGCCCGAAAGAGAGGCCACAGCUGAGUGCAAACAGCCCGUUAGUAUUUAAAUCCCUCCAGGGCCAAGGUUGGAGGAUGAUACAGAAAAGCAGAAGGCAGUGCCUGCCCCGUUCCGUCCGAGUCUGGUCUCCAAGCCACCCAGGCCCAUUUCUGCACAUGCCGUGGACCGUCGUGGUGAACCCCGAUUAUCCUGCCGUUGCAGCUGAAGAAGGGAAUGGAUCAAGAACGUCCAAGGCCGUGGGCCCAACUCUGUAGGAAGCGGGGGGGGGGGGGCCGGCUGGACCUCCCCGGGGUCUCUGCAGUGAAGGCCCAUCAGUGGCGGCGACAGACCGGACCCUGCUGCACAUCAGUUUAACAAGCACGCAUCAGAUUUCUAGGUCCCAUGGGUACAGAGGCCAACGCGACAAAGGCUCUGCUCUAAGAGACCUGGGGCAGCAGCGCUCCCUGGCUGGGGUGACCGUUGCUGCGGGAGCUUCAUCAAUGCCUCCAGGGCCACUGGGCCACAGCACGGGAAGCCAGACGGAUGCGAGUGCACGCUACGUGACCGGUAGGAGGCUGCUUUCUCAUGGGGUGAUGAUUAGAGGGGAUAGAAACAGUCACAGCGGUCAGAUAUAUUCGAAGAGACAUGCGCCCUUAGAUAACUGUACUCAUGUUUCCUACGAGAGUUAACAGUUAUGCUUAAAAGGAGGGGAAAAAAAAGCCUGGCCCCGUGGUCACGAUGUUUUGAAAACAGGGGAUUCCCGUGUACUUCCAGGUUGUGGUCCAGCGGGGUAGAAGCUGGUGACCUAGCACAGCCUGGGCUGUGGGGGGAAGCGGGCUCACUGUCCUGCCCAUGCCCGCAGGGCGACCCUCAGGGUCUUGGGGUCCACCCCCUCCCCCACAAAAUGGGGCUGAGACUUGUGUGACGCGGCUGGGCGCAGAAGGGCGCGUGGCAGACAUCAGUGACUGUAUCGGGGGACACGCUUGAGGGGCCUGGAACCUUGUCCCCCUCAACAGAAGAGCCAGUGCAGGGGCUGCUGCUUCUCCAGGGCUCAUCCAAGCAGGGGCUGUGUCCCCAGGGGCAACAGGACCACAGAUUCUGGUGUCCAGAAGGCAGGCAGGUGCGCAGGGACCCCAACAAAUGCGCGCAGUUGUGGUGCCCCCGCCCCAUGUCCCGCUUCCCGUGCUCCCAUAGGAAAGCUGGUGCCACCUCUGUAUCUGGGUAGAGAACCCAUAACCCGGUCCACCUUCCUUCGUCAGACUUCAGGGAGCAGCGGUUUUCCUGGGGCCCCUCUGGGCGCGAGGGACUCCCCUCCCCAUGCUAACCCGCGCCUGCCUGAGACCUGGGUCUCAGAUCUCACACUGAAACACGAGAGCAGUAGGGCAGGUCUAGGCACAGGACACAUCCUGUGCCUUCACUAGCCCUCGGGCAUCUGGAGAGCAUUGGAGAUGCCAGGCAUGGAGAGGACGCCCAGGCCACGGCCAAAGUCCACGGUCGUGGCAAUCCCGUCUGAAGCAUGAUCGGGAACUCGAGGUUCGCUGGUUCACAGGCGUCGCCCACCCUGCAGGCCCCCAUCUCUUCGAGCAACCUCAUGCCAGCUGUAGGGCGUUCUGCUGUGUGGACGGACCACCGUGUACUUGUGGUCAGUCCCCUCCUGCAGAUGGGCAGGGUUCUUCCCCAUCCUGCCGCUGUGUGUCUGCCCUUCCCACGUACAGGAGGGUACAGACGACUCCAUCACCUGCGUGGAUCUGCCCAGCUAUAAAGCCGUCAAGUGUUAGAAUGUUUUCGUGCUCCAGCUGCCCGGAAGCCAGGAAGUGGUAAGCCAGAACGAGCUGCCUCCCUGGGAGUUCGGAAAGGCCGGGCGGGGCCCAGCAGCACAGCCCCCUGAGGAAGCCUCACAGCGGGCUGUGGGGGAACCACUGACUGCGUCAGAGGGCAGACAAUGGAGCAAGAACGUCCCCACGGCGAUGGCUACGUCGGCCACCACGGCCCCAGUGCCUGUGCUGAGGAAAGGGCCAAUGAACUAUGUCUCCCUGGUAGAAGGUCACACAGCCCCUGAAAACUCCACUUGAAGGGACAUUCAUGGACGCGGGGAAAUAAAAUAUGUACCGAGAACAAAAGCAGAAAAUUGAACCAUGAGCGUGCAGAC
This is a long non-coding RNA of Lynx canadensis (Canada lynx), 2386 nucleotides long. RefSeq lists it as uncharacterized. The record is from RefSeq and is a predicted model, not a curated record. NCBI's taxonomy places the organism in Eukaryota, Metazoa, Chordata, Mammalia, Carnivora, Felidae. The transcript has 3 exons.